AUUGAACGCUGGCGGCAGGCCUAACACAUGCAAGUCGAGCGGAUGAAGGGAGCUUGCUCCUGGAUUCAGCGGCGGACGGGUGAGUAAUGCCUAGGAAUCUGCCUGGUAGUGGGGGAUAACGUCCGGAAACGGGCGCUAAUACCGCAUACGUCCUGAGGGAGAAAGUGGGGGAUCUUCGGACCUCACGCUAUCAGAUGAGCCUAGGUCGGAUUAGCUAGUUGGUGGGGUAAAGGCCUACCAAGGCGACGAUCCGUAACUGGUCUGAGAGGAUGAUCAGUCACACUGGAACUGAGACACGGUCCAGACGCCUACGGGAGGGAGCAGUGGGGAAUAUUGGACAGUGGGCGAAAGCCUGAUCCAGCCAUGCCGCGUGUGUGAAGAAGGUCUUCGGAUUGUAAAGCACUUUAAGUUGGGAGGAAGGGCAGUAAGUUAAUACCUUGCUGUUUUGACGUUACCAACAGAAUAAGCACCGGCUAACUUCGUG
RNAcentral lists this ribosomal RNA (484 nucleotides) under uncultured bacterium. RNAcentral's name for it is "partial 16S ribosomal RNA". It matches the Rfam family "Bacterial small subunit ribosomal RNA", at positions 30 to 507 of the family's 1533-position model. The record is from RNAcentral.